UACGGGAGGCAGCAGUGGGGAAUAUUGCACAAUGGGCGAAAGCCUGAUGCAGCUAUGCCGCGUGUAUGAAGAAGGCCUUAGGGUUGUAAAGUACUUUCAUCGGGGAGGAAAAAACAAAACUAAUAAUUUUAUUUCUUGACGUUACCCGAAAAAGAAGCACCGGCUAACUCCGUGCCAGCAGCCGCGGUAAUACGGAGGGUGCUAGCGUUAAUCAGAAUUACUGGGCGUAAAGAGCACGUAGGUGGUUUUUUUAAAGUCAGAUGUGAAAUCCCUGGGCUUAACCUAGGAACUGCAUUUUGAAACUGAAAUACUAGAGUAUCGUAGAGGGAGGUAGAAUUCUAGGUGUAGCGGUGAAAUGCGUAGAUAUCUGGAGGAAUACCUGUGGCGAAAGCGGCCUCCUAAACGAAUACUGACACUGAGUGCGAAAGCGUGGGGAGCAAACAGGGAUUAGAUACCCGU
RNAcentral lists this ribosomal RNA (459 nucleotides) under uncultured bacterium. Its description in RNAcentral is "bacterial SSU rRNA". It matches the Rfam family "Bacterial small subunit ribosomal RNA", at positions 340 to 789 of the family's 1533-position model. The record is from RNAcentral.